AGGUUUCGGCCAAAUGAUAGGAAUGCUUAGUGGCGGACUGGUGAGUAACGCGUGAGGAACCUGCCUUCCAGAGGGGGACAACAGUUGGAAACGACUGCUAAUACCGCAUGAUACGUUUUAGGGGCAUCCCUGAGACGUCAAAGAUUUAUCGCUGAAAGAUGGCCUCGCGUCUGAUUAGCUAGUUGGUGAGGUAACGGCCCACCAAGGCGACGAUCAGUAGCCGGACUGAGAGGUUGACCGGCCACAUUGGGACUGAGAUACGGCCCAGACUCC
Molecule: ribosomal RNA, 273 nt
Filed under: uncultured Oscillibacter sp.
Lineage: Bacteria; Bacillati; Bacillota; Clostridia; Eubacteriales; Oscillospiraceae
Description: partial 16S ribosomal RNA
Rfam family: Bacterial small subunit ribosomal RNA
Source: RNAcentral